Non-coding RNA from Pelobates cultripes (western spadefoot toad), 237 nucleotides. Lineage: Eukaryota; Metazoa; Chordata; Amphibia; Anura; Pelobatidae. The record is from the annotation of a GenBank genome assembly.
GUUAAUUCCUGAAGUUUUUCACUUGGAAGGCAGGGAUAGGAGGUGGUCGGGUUGUGAUGAAAUGUGUGAGCAGCCAGGCUGGAAUUAUUACCCUGAUCCCCCACAUUCCUUAUUUGCCCUGAUCAUUUUUUAUGACAAAGAACCACCUUUUUUUUGUUACCAGCUAAAAUAGUGUUCAUCAGCUUUCAUUCUUGCAUCAGACUUGUAUUGCUAAGCUUUCUUAUACAUGUUUUAUUC